RNAcentral lists this small RNA (63 nucleotides) under Sinorhizobium meliloti 2011. Its description in RNAcentral is "putative ncRNA". The record is from RNAcentral. Lineage: Bacteria; Pseudomonadati; Pseudomonadota; Alphaproteobacteria; Hyphomicrobiales; Rhizobiaceae.
AGGGAUAUCGCUUCAGAGAGACACUCCGUAGGUCAGGCAAUCCCAAUUCGUAUGCAUAUCGCA